Molecule: non-coding RNA, 64 nt
Organism: Marchantia polymorpha subsp. ruderalis
Lineage: Eukaryota; Viridiplantae; Streptophyta; Marchantiopsida; Marchantiales; Marchantiaceae
Source: the annotation of a GenBank genome assembly
GUUUCAAAGACGAGCUCUGGAAUUAGGCCUGGGACAGGAUUCCAACGGUCUCAUCUUUCAUGAC